GCCAGCCCGCUCAGAAACUUAAAGGAAGUUGACGGGGCCCGCGACAAGCGGUGGAGUAUGUGGUUAAUUCGAUGCAACGCGAAGAACCUUACCUGGUCUUGACAUCCCGGAGACCCUUAGGAAACUAGGGGUGCUUCCAUCUGGAAGAAUCUGGAGACAGGUGCUGCAUGGCUGUCGUCAGCUCGUGUCGUGAGAUGUUGGGUUAAGUCCCGCAACGAGCGCAACCCUUGCCUUUAGUUGCCAGGCAGUUCGGCUGGGCACUCUAAAGGGACUGCCGGUGUUAAACCGGAGGAAGGUGGGGAUGACGUCAAGUCCUCAUGGCCUUUAUGACCAGGGCUACACACGUACUACAAUGGCCGAUACAAAGGGCAGCGACACUGCGAGGUGAAGCCAAUCCCGUAAAAUCGGUCUCAGUCCGGAUUGGAGUCUGCAACUCGACUCCAUGAAGUUGGAAUCGCUAGUAAUCGUGAAUCAGGAUGUCACGGUGAAUACGUUCCCGGGCCUU
Molecule: ribosomal RNA, 505 nt
Filed under: uncultured Desulfobulbus sp.
Lineage: Bacteria; Pseudomonadati; Thermodesulfobacteriota; Desulfobulbia; Desulfobulbales; Desulfobulbaceae
Description: bacterial SSU rRNA
Rfam family: Bacterial small subunit ribosomal RNA
Source: RNAcentral